Molecule: ribosomal RNA, 206 nt
Filed under: uncultured bacterium
Lineage: Bacteria
Description: partial 16S ribosomal RNA
Rfam family: Bacterial small subunit ribosomal RNA
Source: RNAcentral
CUCAGUUCGGAUUGGAGCUGCAACUCGACUCCAUGAAGCUGGAUUCGCUAGUAAUCGCGCAUCAGCCAUGGCGCGGUGAAUACGUUCCCGGGCCUUGUACACACCGCCCGUCAAGCCAUGGGAGUCGGGAGUGCCUGAAGUUCGUGACCGUAUAGGAGCGACCUAGGGCAAGACUGAUGACUGGGGCUAAGUCGUAACAAGGUAAC